UUUGAAGAUGAGUUCCUAAACAUGUUAAAAGAAAGGUAUCUCUCUAUGAAGAGUACAGAUGGUGAAUUUGAAGUAAUCCACAUCUAUGUAUCUGACACUGAUGAUGUUGUAGACCCGCCGGCCUGGUUUGUGUAUCAUCUGCCAAAAGGCUUCCGCUAUGCUUCUGAUAUUAUACCUGCUGACUUUGAUAAACGAUACUUUAGACAAGAAGAGAUUUACGAUGUUGGAGAUACGAGAAGACUUCUUGCUUUUGAUCGAGAUGGAAUGAUCGUCAGAGACUCGGCUUUUCCGACGAUUGAAGAUAUGAAUUUCCCCUUCUACACCAGGGGGUUGGAAAAGGAAGCCUUACUAGAAUUAGAUUCUGUGUUCCAUUGGUAUGAAUGGGAAGACGCUGAGAGUUGGAACCGUGAGGCAGGGUAUAUUGGACCAAACCAGUCUUGCGGACGAUCGGUUGGAUCCAUUUCCGCCUUGGGCGUCAUUAGUUUUGAGUCAUGAUGGGUUGAAGCAUGCUGAUAGUUAUUAGAAUAUAAUAAAUUGAAGUGUUCUAUUAUUUUAUGUAUUAUUAGUUAUUUGAAGGAUGGAUUGGAUGCUGAAAAAGUAAAAGUUUCUCACUAGACAUCAUUUUAUGCAUCAAACUUUCAAUGUCAAGUAAAAGUUUCUCACUUUGCAUCAUUUUAUGCAUCAAACUUUCAAUGUCAGAACUAAUAAGCUAAGGAUAGUGUCAGAUCAAUUAUAAAAUGAUGAGCAUUUGUGUAAUAUUUGCUGUAUGAAUUCUACACCCUGUGGUCAUUUACUGAACUUAAAAUAAAUCUAUCUAUUAUAUGAGAACAUGUUUUUCUGUACUGAGCAAAUUUAUUCAGGUAAGGAAAUCCCGGCCUAUUUACCAACCUAUCCUGUCCAACUGAUGCAUGCUCCUUCUUAGACCCAGUCUUCCAACGAACUGAUCCCUCCCACCAGGGGCUCCAUUCUUCUUCUACGAUCUGGCUAGAUGAGGUCGAUUCUAGUGAUUGGUUCAGGUAAGCUCGUUAUGAUGCUGGCAUCCUGCACUCCAGUAAAUUAUUAGAAGGUGAGGAAGCUUUCAAUCUCAUGUCUGUUUGUCCUCUCCCCACAGGAGCCUGAUGAAGGUUUGGGAUUUCUGAGCAAAAAGAAAUUGACAUUUUUUAUUAUGAUUUACAAACUUGAAUUGAAUUCAUAGUUUGGUAAAAUUAUUAAUGUUAUUUUUUCUUUUCACUAAUUCAAUAUAUAUGUUUCCAAGCCUGAAACUCGGGGUUGCGUAUGUUCUUUGGGUAUGUACUUACAGAAAUUCAGAUAAAGAAACCAAAGCAUGAAUAAUUAAUAGAGAUUGUUGCUAAGUUGUACAUUUUUGUUUGGUCUGUUGAGGAACAUUUGCGUUUGUCAAGUUUUCUGUGGAGGACAUAUAUUUCAAAUAGCACUUGUAGUGUGUAAGUGUUUGUUAUACUGAUUGAAAUGACUUUUAAGAUUGCAAGUAUAAUUAGGCCAACAUACAGCAAUAUUUUUUUUUUAUAAUUGUGUGUCUAAUAGAUCUCCUGAAUAUUAAACCGUAUACCUUAUUCUCGUAAAAAUUUGAAGCCAAACAGCAGGCUUUUAGGUAUAAAUUUGGGCAAUGACUUGGAUAUGUGUAUUUAGAUUCUUAUACAUGUCUGAAGUUAAUAAAGUUAUUAGAAGUUAUAUAUGAGAUAUAUAUUAACUGUUAGAUUAUCAACCUUUGUUUUUACAGAUAUAUAACUUAUUCAAAGGAGGAAGAAGCAGUUCGUUGCAUUCAGUCAGUGUAUGGUUACACAUUGGAGGGUAGACCAUUAAGGUCUGAUUCUAUUGGCUUUAGUGGAGUGCAGCAGUAAUGGUAUCUGUUUGCUUAUUUACUAUUCUUGUGUUGCAGAGCCUGUUUUGGAACCACAAAAUAUUCCCAUGCAUGUCUGAGGAGUGUGGUAUGGUCCUUAAUUUAAUUAAUUGUGAGUAAUUCGACUAUGGGGGCAUAAUGUAAUGGAAGGGUAUAUAUUCGCGGACUAAUAUAUUUCUGAAUUAAAUUCUGACUGUAAUGCUAUUUUGUUAGAUGGAAAAGAACUUGAUGGUUCAAUUACCACACCACUAAAUUCAAUUCCACUACACGUUUACAAUGGUGUAAUAAAUGUUUGUAAGCAUAGAGCACACGAUAGUUUAUGGAGUAUCUUGUGGUAGGUACGAGUGCUACAUAAUUUAAUUGGAUUUGUCAGAGUCGAAUAUUCAAGCUAUACUUUGUCCACUUAUGUUGUUUAACCAAUUAUUAUUUGUCGAAGUUGGGUCUUCGGUAUAUGUAGAUUCCUCAUUUUUCUGACUUUGCUAAUUACGGAAGAACUUUACAACUUUUACUCUAUUUGUAUACCUUGCACAGUGAUUUCUUUUAAUUUUUUUAGCUUUUACAUGAAUAUGCCUCAGGUGUAUGUAUGUUAGACAGUUAAGAUUGGUGAAAUCCUUGCGCUAUUUAUGGAACUUCAGACCUUGGGUGACAGGAAUUUGCAGUUUGCUUUCUUAUUUCAGUUUACGAGAGUGUAUUAUCUUUUUUUUGAUUGAUUUUAGGCAAAUAAUACGGGGACGAUGUCAAGCAAAAUGAAAAAGAAAGCAAAAUUGCAGCGUGUCAUUCGUAGCAUGAAAAAACAGCAGCUCCAGUCUUCAGAAAAGACUACAAGCUCCAGGUCAUAUUCACCUCUUAACCAUUUAAAUGAUGCUCAGGUAAUAAUAAUCAUCUGAGGUUUUGGUGAUCACUGAUACUCUGCAGUUUUAGGAGAGCAAGAUAACUCAUCAUACUUAUAUUUUGUUGUCAGGGAUUUGUUGAAAAGCUGUAUUCUCGUCUCCAAACUGCAGACAAAUUUGAGGUAUUCAGACUGAUGUGUAAUGUUUAGCUUUUUCUUUCUAAUUUAUUCAAGAUCCAAUCUGCACCCUUUUAACACCAUUUUAUGUGUCACAGAAGUUAUUAUCUAAAUUGCUUUAUAACCUUUAUUUUUUCUAUUAUCUGUGCUUGUUUCAUUUCCACAAUCUCUAUCAGUUAUGCUGUUUAGUGUCUUCUUAGUAUACAUCUGAUAAUGUGAAACUUUAGCACAGCGAACUGUAUUGUUUGAAAUCUGUACCUUUUAUGUAUGUAUUGUAUUGAAUAAAAAUCAUCAUUACGCGAUCAUGAGCAACAGAAAGCAGCUAUUGAUAACACAAAAUAUUAAAAUUCGUUUUAGUUCUAUCUGAACCCAGAUAAUCUAUGAUGACCAAUAAUACAUGGUAAUGACUUAAAUGUUUAUGGUUUAAUUCUUAAAAGUUUAUAAUUUUAACAGUUCAGUCUUCCCAAGACAACUUUACUGCCCUGAAGCAGGUUUUGGAAAAUUAGAGAGAAGUGUUACAAAGUUGACAGAAAUAUUCCUUGUGCACUGUAAGAUAAAAGGAAAACCGGAUUCUGCAGAAACUGUUGUGUUGGUCGAUGGCUAUUUGACAAAGCGAGCCUGUUGCUGGUUUUCACGCUUAGAUAUGCAGGUCGGUGAUUAUGUAAUAUAAAGGAGAAAAUGCAAUUAACUUUACUUAUGAUUUAAAAGGACAUCCUUCUUGUCAUUUCAGUUGUUGUGGGAUAUUGUCCAUUUGGAGAACAGGAACAGGCAUUGCAAUAUUUUACUGAACUACCUCGGUUUCAUCACACAUGUGUGACUUUUUGAAAGGUUUAUUUGUUUUUAUAUAUAACCAGUCUUGUUUUGAUCUGAAUUUUACUGCUAAUAUAUUUUUCCCUGGUGAUUCUCAGGGUAAAUGUUGUGUUUCGUCCAGUUUCAACCGUUUCUGUUCCUAUGAACUUCACAAUAUGAACAUAAUCAAGGUGAUAAAGAGUCAUAUUGUUACAUAACAGUUUAAUGAAUAUUUUGGUUCAAGUACUUCAUGAUAUGUUUUCUUGUUUUGUAGAAUUUACCAGGCGUGGAUGCUCUCACUGCAUUUGCAUAUUUCUUUGAUGCUGAGUCCACAAGGAAGUACGUAAGUUCAAGAAGUUUGGCAGAGGAAAGACAAGUAAGUUCACAAAAAGUUUUGUAGUCCUUCAUUUCCUGGACUUGGUUGCUUGUCUCCCCUAAAACCUGCUAGCUUAAAAGAGUAUUUGGCUGCAAUUUCCUGAAAUGCUUUACUUGAGAGUCUCUAUUUUUCUUCCAUUACUUUUAAAUGGUUGAAUAUAGAACUGUAAUAUCCGAAAUUGUGUCUUCUCAAGCAAACAGAUUACUGGCAGUUGAUAGUACUAUGCCAAAACCAGAGUAGAACUCAUGAAUUAGAAAAUUUCAUCAUAGGAUCAGCUUUGCAUAAAUUGAUGAUUUGCUUUACCAUCCUUUCCUUAUGCAACACUAAUUUAAUACUUUGAAUUUGAAUGCACGGGACGCUAAUCUACUUUUGCAGUUCAAAGUGUCCAAAUGUCAUUGUUACAACUUAAAACUGUAAAGACAUAUUGAAGAUUGAAGUACAACACCAAGAAAAUAAGUACUCAAUUAAUUUCUAUUUACAUCUCGUGUAGUAUCUGAAAGAAUAUAUAGCUUGAACCAUUAUGUGAAUUUUUCCCUUAUAUAGCUGCUGUUUGGUGCAGAUAAGCAGCUUACUUCUAGGUAGUAUGCUAGAUGUGGUAGAGGAGGUACAAUUAGCUCGGUUAGAACUUCGUAAUCUCAUUCAGUGUAUCUUCUGCUCUGAGUCAGGUAACUUCUGUCCUUCUCCACUUGAAAGUUUCUUUUCGCAGGCCAAGUUACCCGGACACGGGUAUGGGUAUCGGACACGGGUACAGAUCCAAGAGUCAGAUUCGUAGUUUUAGGAUAAUUAGGAUUCGUGGACAUGGAUCCGGAAUUAGACUCGGGUACGGGGACUUGGCACUUAAGCUCCAUGCAAGUAAAACUUUAUAUAGACUAGUCUAUUGUACAUUCAUAAAAAUAGUGUCUACUGCACAUAAAUCACAUACGCUGAAAAUUGAAGCAUAAAAUCAAUAGAACAACAUAGAAACAAGUCAUUCAUGGAUCUUGAUCUCUUCAAACAAGUUGAAACAAGACCUAAGUUUUCAUUUUGACCUGGGAUGUUACAAGGUGAGGUGUCCGGUUGUAAUAAGAAGGAUCCGACAAAGUGCGAGACUCACUUAUGGCCAAAUGCUUAGUUAAAGUUACUUUGUCCUUUGCUAGACUUUAAUGCUAAAUAUGAGAAUCUUUGUAUUGAGAUGAACUGAUGGUGCCUCAUGCCUGUGUCGCUUGAUGGAGCAUAGGAGCAUGCAUCGGUUGAAAUAUUGUAGUUAUUAAUUGUCCCUCUACUGUGCUAAUAUGGGAGGCUGAAUCUCUCGUGAAUCAAAGCAUAAUAAUCCUUCAUAUUUUUUCUAAUGUUAACCGUGUUUACAUGCAAUUGUAGUUAAUUUCCAUUUUUUGUGCAGUUGAACAGCUUGAUUUGCAGCUUUAUUUCCUUAAUCUUAAAAGUGGUAAAAGAGCAAUCUUUACUUUUGACUUGUCCUGUUUAAAAGGUACAGAGCCUUACUUUUGAAUAUUGAUUGUUUCUACUUUCCGCUAUUAUAAAUUAUUAUUUACCUUAUUCCUAUUAUCUUCCCGGGUGGUAAUAUUGGACCCGACACGAAUUCGACCCAUAAAUACGAAUUCGGGUUGGAGUUUUUCAAGUUCGGGUCGAAUUUGGGUUGACCAAACUACUAGGAUAUAUACGUACUCCCUCCAUCCCAAAUUAGAUGGCCCCGUUGACUUUGGGCACACAAUUUAAGGUUCAUUGACCGCAUAGAUACGUGAUUUAUUUUUAAAAUUUUAUUUUUGCAAAUAAAAAUUAAAAUAUGAAAUUUUUAUUUAUAAAAGAAAAAAUAAAAAAAUAAAUUUCGGAAGUAGACGGUCAAUGCAUCUAAAGUUACGUGCCCAAAGUCAACGGGGACAUCUAAUUUGGGAUGGAGGUAGUAUUUGAGAAGUCAUAAAAGUUGCAGAAAAUGAAAGUCCUGCCUAACGAUGGAAAGUCUCGAAAUUAAAACUGAAUUUUUUAUUGGAAGGAAAGAUAUGCUAGAGAAUGAAAAGAUUGGUAAUGAUGGUAAAUAUCGACUAGGAGGAAGGAACGUACCUCCUAUUUACAUAGAAAUGAUUGAAUUUGCUGUUAUAGGUGAUAGGUAGCUUUGUAUAUAAACUCUCUUUAGUCAUUGUAAUUCUAUAUACAUAUUUGAGUGAUUGCAAGUUGAAUUAGGUUAUCGUGAAGCUUUGUAUUUUGUACAUAGAGAGUUUGUGUAUUGAGUUUGUAAUUGCAAGAGUUGCUGGUGCAACUACUAAGGUUUCUGUACGCAUUUGUAAAGAAAGUUUUAACUUGUUCAUAUAUAUACAUAUAGUUGUUUUUAUCAUUGUGUUUAUUGAUUAUUCGUUGCUUGAAUAUUUGUUUUAAUAAUUGAUAAACGGACAUUGUUUUACGGUACUCAUAUUCAACCCCACCUUGUACAAGUACAUUGUUAGGAAUAUGUUAGGCUUGAUGAUAAGUUAAAACAGUUAGUGUAAUUUUGGUUAAGUAAAUGUAGCGACCAAUUUGUAAAUAUUUAAUAUUCUAAGUAUGUAAACUACUCAAGUGAAGUGAAGAUUAACGACUAAAUCUAAGCUAUCAACGGAUGAGGAAUAAAAUUUCAUCAACGACUAAUACAGAUAAGCUAUCAACUGAUAAUAAGAAGCAAUUAAUGGCCAAGUCAUGAAAGCUAUUAACAGCUAUCACAUUGGUUUAUUAUUUGCUAAAUCAAGCAUUAUCAGUUGACAGCUACAAUAGAGAAAAAAGACAACAGUCAUAUGGGAUGGGAUGAUCAAAUAAAGUUUAAUUUGUUUCGGAAGCUAAGACAAGUAAAGGCUAGCACUAUGUUGAUCAAAUAUAUGUGUUGGAAGAAGAUGAAGAAUCAUCUUUUCGAUAUACAAUUUCAGUAGCAACAUCUUUCUUUCUGAAGAAGAUGAUUAAUGAAUGGAUGAGCUGAUUAUCCUUCUGGAUUUUCUUACAAUGAGUUACCCAUGACUUUGGAAGAACUUUAACUAGCUCGUUUUUAAAAAUUUGCUUUGGCACAUGAAUACAUGAGCUUGGUUGAGCAUCAAAUUGUAGAAAUAGUGCAUUAUUUGUAUCUCAGGGAAGACUGGGGUCAAAUAAAUGGUUUUGAAAUAUUCUAUAGGUCAUUUAAUACAGAAGACUGGCAAUAUAAGUUUUUGAAAUUUGCAGUGCUCCAAUAAUCUGAAGCUAAACUUUGAGAUUCUUUUAGAUAAAAGGGUCACCAAGCCUCAAAUUGAAGUUUGGGAAAAGCGUUACAAAAAUUGUACCAGCUUUUAACGUGGUUUGAACAAUAGCUGCUUAUGCACCAAAAGUGUCAUCCUUGCAAAAACUAGUAGUCAUUUCCUUCAUAGAGGGUUAGAGGCAUUCUAACAGCUCCAAAAUGAAGUUGAGAAAAGUUUUGCAUCCGUCACUGCUUUGGCAACGAAUCUCCCAACAAAAUAGAAAGAAUAUGGACUUGCUCGAGCUUUGAAAUCAAGACUAGAUCUUUAGCUUCUAAAUAAGAAGAAAGAACAUUAUGUUUUUUAGUGAAAGCUCGAUAUGGGUUUAGCAAAGAAAGUUAUGUGAUAGUAAUCUUAUUAUCUUCAUUGUUGUAAUUUAUAGAUUCAAGAAAAUCACAUUUUUUAUUGAGAGGAAGAAAAGAGUUCUUAGAAGAAAAAAAAGGAUGAAGAAGAUAGUUGGUCGGCUUAGGGACAACUUGAUAGAUAUCAAUCUAGCAUAUCAAUAAUACGAUGAUACUUGUAUUAAUAUCUUUAUCAUAAAAGAUAAGAUUCUUUAUUUAAAAUUAUUACUUCCAUUUUACUAUAUAUUUCCACACAUUUUUAUUGGACUAUAUAUUUUCUUCCAUUGGACUAUAUAUUUUAAAAGAUUUUUGACUAACCUGUGUUAUUGGACUAUAUAUUUUCUUACAAAAUAUCUAUAUAUUUUUAAAAGAUUUUUGACAAUCAAGUCGAGACGUAAUUCUUGAUUAUGAGUUCCUGAUAUAUCUAUAAGAGGUGUAAAAUUUUUCAAUUUAGGCAAAGUUUCGGUUUCUUGAAUAGAAAUCCACUCCGAAUCCUUAUGUAGGACUCCAGGUUGAAGUUAUGGAUUAUUUGGUUCAUGGGCGUCUAGAAUCAGGUAUGGAGUUUGUUCAUUCCAAAUUCAUAUCUAGUGUUUGGUUAGAGAAUAUAAAAUCUUAAACCCCCAAGAUAUGGGUUUUGAUACCCAAGUGGGGAGUUAGGUAUUAUGCAUUCAUUUUUAAUUUUUUUGGCCUUUAUUUAAGUAAUGAAAUAUUAAUAUUAUAUACAAAAUUAAAUCAAUGAUGCAAAAAAUAACUUAUUAAUAACUUAAUAACUUAAUAUAAAUUAAUAACUUAUUUUUUACAAAAAUAAUGUAUAUAUAAAUUUCAACACUCAACGAACACAUGAUAUCAUAUAUGAUAUCUCAAAGGAUCAAACUCAUAAAUUCAUACCCAACUUAACCCGAUUACUCCUUCCACCACAUGUAACUCCUCGAAACCAAAUACAGUCUUUAUUUUCAAACCGAAUUUGGGUUACUCAACCCAAUAAAGUCUUUAUUUUCAAACCGAAGUUGGGCUCCCAUCAUGAAUUCUGGGCUUAUAUUUAAUUAAACAUCAAGUAUAAUUAAAUAAUUUAUUUUAGAUCAUAUAAUUAUAAAGUAUGAAAUUAAAUAUGGGGAAAACCCCAAAAGUUCAAAUUUAGGGAUGAAUAAUUUUUUUCUUUUUAAAAGAAAAUUCAUUUUAAAAUUUGAAAUGCGGAGAAGAAUUCUAAAAAUAUAAAAAUUGGGUAUAUUUUGUUUAUAAUCUAGGGAAAUCUACAAAACUACCUACCUUUUCUUUAAUUAUUUACAAAAAUACUACCUUCCAGAAUUAUUUUUAAAAAUACCUUUUCAUAAAAUUGUUUUUUCAAAAAUACUGUUUGCAACUUUUGCAACCUCAUUUGCAACUAGCCAGCCGUGUUGCAACCUCUUUUGCAACUUCAUCUGCAACUGAAUUUCUGAUUUCAAGUUCCAGUUUUCAAAUGUCAUUUUCGACCUCAUUUUCGGAAUCGAUAUAUAUAUAUAUAUAUAUCGAUUCCGAAAAUGAGGUCGAAAAUGACAUUUGAAAACUGGAACUUGAAAUCAGAAUUUGUAAUUGCAUAUAUGGUUGCAUAUGGUUGUAUUCAGUUGCAUAUGGUUGCAUUCAGUUGAUUCUAUUGUAUUCUAAUGGCCCCGCCAGGGGCACACCAUACAUCUGUUGUUACUUACAGUUUUCAGUUGCAUUUAGUUGCAACUGAGGUUGCAAAUGAAGUUGCAAAAGUUGCAACUGCAGUUGCAACCUCAUUUGCAACUUUUGCAACCUCAUUUACAACUAUAUAUAGUUUUCAGUUGCAUUAAGUUGCAACUGAAGUUGCAACUGCAGUAGCAACUGAAGUUGCAAAAGUUGCAACUGCAGUUGCAACUUUUGCAACCUCAUUUGCAACUUACUGUUUUCAGUUGAACUAGUUGCAACUGCAGUUGCAACCGUUGCAACUUUUCAUUUUUAUUUGCAACUUUUGCAACCUCAUUUGCAACUUUUACGGCUGCGCCGCCCAAGGUUGCAAAAGUUGCAAAUCGUAUUUUUGAAAAAAAAAUUUUAUGAAAAGGUAUUUUUAAAAACAAUGAAAAAGAUGGUAGUAUUUUUAAAAAAAUGAUUUUACAGAUGGGUAUUUUUAAAAAGAUCCCUAUAAUUUAAUAUGAUGAAUAUUUAUUGAAUCAUUAUAGAUUAAUUUUCUCUUUUCCCCUGAAUUUAUAAUUUUUUGUUUGUACCGGAAAAAAAUUGUUUCUUAUUUCCCAUGUUCUCAUAUUUAAAAAUAUUUUUCUCUAUAAAAAUAUAUUCUACUAUUCCCCUUUUUUUUUUUUGAUUUUCUAGUAUAUUUCUUAAAAUCAAUCUCUUAUUUCUAUAUUGAAUUUAAAUAUUAUUAGUUUUAUUAUAUAUUUCCUAUAAUCGAAAUUUUAAUUUCGUCCCUAUAUUCGAAUAUUCUCUUAUUCCCAAUUUUACUUUUUCAUUUUUUCCUAAAUUUGAUUUUUCUAUUUCUAUUAUUAUAAAAUGUUUUUCUAAUUUGUAAUAGUUUGAGUAGACAAAAUUCUAAUACAGUAAUCGCCUAUAGUAUUUUCUUGUUAAAUAGCCCUGCAAAUAUACAAUAUACAAUUAAAAGACAGUAGUAGUAAAAGAGAAAAAAGGAGAAAGAAAUGUUUCGACUGUUAGUUACUAGGAGGCCAUUGCGUAGUGAUUCACAUCAUCAUCAAUCUUUCUAGGAGGCCAUUGCGUAGUGAUUCACAUCAUCAUCAAUCUUUCGCCAUGGCGACAUUAAUCUCUUACUGUGUUCGUAGUGUUAAAGAAAGCGCGAAGGUAUUUUAUUGUAUUCAUUUCUAUCAAUUCUUUAUUUCUUCUGCACAUUCUUGACUCUGAAUAAUUUAUUGUAUUCGUUUUUAUCAGUUCUUGAUUUCUUUCUUGACUCUGAAUAAUUUAUUGUAUUCGUUCCUAUCAAUUCUUGAUUUCUUCUGCACAUUCUUGACUCUGAAUAAUUUAUUGUAUUCGUUUCUAUCAAUUCUUGUUUUUUUUCAUAGUGUCUCCGUCAAUCUUGAUUUGUUUUCUGUCUAAUCAUGUUCUGUUUGAUUUAACUGCUAUUGAUUUCAUAAUUACAGUUCUUGAAAACUAGGCACAUAAGCACAACUAUAUCUUCUGCUGCUAGACAUGUCCCUACAAGCCAGGGAUGCAGCUGGGAUUAUCCAGGUAGAAGAAAUAACCCUGUAUAUAAACAAUAAAACCACUGAGACAUUGCUUGUUUUCUGAUACUGUCAUAUACUCUCAGGGGUACUCUUGGCCAGGAAUAUCACUGAUCCAAGCACUCCCAGUGUAGCAGCAGUUCUCAGAGGUUCACAAAAUGUAUGCAGACCACCGAGAAGACCAAUCCCUGAGGAAGGUAAACACUAUACCAUAUAAGUAUGACAACAAUAAAACCUCCAACAUUCUUAAUUAAUUAUUAUUAUUGCGCUCUUAGAAACGAUUUACACUUGUAGAUAGACGACUAAUUCUAAGAAUCCAGAUCUUACCUGGGUACUUAAAUUUCAAUAUCCACUGCCUGGCCACGGCAAGGUACAACGAUCUAUCCAAGUACCUAACAGAUGAACAAAAAAGGAGGGACUCUGAAAAAAGAAGAAGUGAAUCUAAGCUAGAAAGCAUCUACGUCAGCGAACCUCAGCAGAAUGUCAAAGAAGUCGUCAUGGUAAUCACUUUUCACUUUAGGAAUUUAAAAUGUGAAACAUAGGCUUUUAAUUGAUUGUUUUUAUAUCUAUGAUUUAGGAGAUCAAAAACCUACCCUUCCGGAAGAGGGUAGGUUUUUUUACUUUGGGCGGAAAAAAUUCUCGCUUACAGUGGUGAAUUUUUUUGAAUAAUAAUUGACUAAUUUCGGUCAGAUUUAUGAAUUUGACUGUCAGCGGUCAAAUUUAUCCUUCCCAGACCUAAUAGCUUUCAUUACAUGUUAAAAUUUAAUUUACUUAAAAUUAAAUUUUAUGUUAAAUUUAAAAUAUAAAUAGAAUUAUAUUUAUCUUAGUCGUUCGAUUUUUUUUAAAAUUUAACUUGCAUGACUUUGUAAGAAAUAUUUAAUAAGAAGUACUACUCCUUAAAAUGAGAUUCAUUCCUAAUUAAUAAAAUAUUUUUUUUAAAUAAUUUUAUCAACAAUCCAACCAUACGGAUGCAAAGAUAUAUUGAUUUUAUUCACGUGAAAAAAUUCUUUAAAGAUUUGAAAUUUGACUUGCAUGACUUUAUAAGAAAAAUCCAGUAAGAAGUAAUACCUCUUAAAAUGAGAUUUAUUCUUAAUUAACAAAAUAAAUUUUUUAAAUAAUUUUUUCAACGAUCCAACCAUACAGAUGUUAAGAUAUAUUUAUUUUUGUCAUGUAAAAAAAUAAUUUAAAAAAUUGAAAUUUACCCUGCAUGACUUUAUAAGAAAAAUCUUGUAAGCAGUACUACUCCUUUAAAUAAGAUUCAUUCCUGAUUAACAAAAUAAAUUAUUAAAAUGAUUUUUACAAAGAUCCAACCGUAUGGAUGUUAAGAUAUAUUAAUUUUAGUCAUGUAAAAAAAUAAUUAAAAGAUUUGAAAUUUGACUUGCAUGACUAUAUAAGAAAAAUCCAGUAAGAAACGUACUACUCCUUAAAAUCUUUAGAUUCUGCUAAUUGUACAUUUUUGUUUGGUCUAUUGAGGAACAUUUGCGUUUCGUCAAGUUUUCAGUGGAGGACAGAUAUUGGAAUUAGUGUUAAGUUUUUAUCUUUCUAUCUAUAUUUGUGUUGCAGACUCACAACUGAAGCACUUGUUAGGGUUAGUAAAGAAUCUAACAGGACAUGGUUCUAAAUACAGUUUAUCAGAAUCCCAGUUAAGUGGCUGAAUUGUGACAGUGAUACUACAACUCCCAUGAUUCUUUUUUGACUACGCUGAUUGUUGAAAGCACUAAAAUGAUAUUAAAAAAGCAUCUAACAGAAGUAGUGGAAAGUUUAAAGUGUAAUCGCUAGAUAUGCUACAAUUAAGCUUUUUGCAUAAGUUAAACAUGGAAAAUUUUUGGUCAAGGCAGCUCAGUGUGAAAGGUUUUCAUCUAUGCAUAUAGCUUAUGUUGAUGUCUGCAGAUAUUUUGUUGACAUAGUUGUUAUGAUGACAUAUAAUAUUUCUCAUGGAUAGGUUGUUGUCUAAGUUGAAUGUGGAGAAGAAAGUGAAGUCAAAGUUGGUGGUAGAAAGAAUCUAAUUAGUGUUCGAGUGAGAAUUUUGUCUACAUUGUGGGGUUACCUCUUACUUUGGUAGACGAAGACAUGUGUAAAUAUCCGUUUUUCCUUACUUUUUUCUGCACGGUUUUUUAUCACCUGUAUACAGUGUUCUAAAAAUCGUCGAGUCUGUCGAGUACUCAUUCCGAGUACUUGUUUUUUACCCCUCAUCCGAUCCGAGUUCCGAGUCGGUUCAAAACCGAUUUAUUAAAAAAUCGGUCAAAACUCGGUUUGACUCCGAGUACUCGAGGUCAAAUCCGAGUUUGACUUAUCAAUUUUUUUUAUUGUUUUAUUUGAAAAUUAUUUCAAAAGAGACUAAUCGUAAAUUUAUAUAUGUUUUGUUCUUUUUUUUUUUUUUUGCAAAGUAUUGACAUUAAUUAGACAAUAUAUGUGUUUUAUCAUUAGAACUUGCGAAUGAUUAUUAUGUCAAAAACUAUCAAACAAGUAACUUUUAUUUGAACUUCAUUAUUCCAGGUGUGUUAUUAAAAUAUUAAUAUUAUUAAAUAGUUUUAUUAUUAAUCAGCAUAUAACUAUAUAUGAGAGAAAAAAUUAAUUAAAAAAAUACCCGAUUAAUUAUCCGAUAACUCAUUCUGAAUACUCCCCCGAGUUCCGAGUCCUCAUUUUUCCGGAACCAAACCGAGUUGGACCGAGUUCCGAUUUUUACAAUUUUGCCUGUAUAUAUAUCAUUUUAUGCAGCUCCUACAAGGAGCGGAAUACUUUGCUCAAUAUGGGAAGGUGCUUAAAGUGUCAGUCUCUUGUACCGCAAUUGGUACCAUUCAACGAUUUUCAAAUAGCACUUGUAGUGUGCAAGUGUUUGUUAUGCUCAUUGAAAUGACUUUUAAGAUUGCAAGUAUAAUUAGGCCAACAUAUAACAAUAAUUUUUGAGUAAAAUGUAUUAUGUGUACCUGCACUUUGUGCGUGACACCACUUGCAAUAUUAAUUUUUAAUAAGUAUUAGUUGCAAUAUUCAAGUUUCAAUUUUUUUUUACAAAGCGUGGCUCUCCGUCAAUUUUAACUAACGGUGUUAAUUUCUUGAAAGACUUUCAUGUCUUUUUCAGAUAUUUAUGUUUAUCCCAAAUUCAAAACCCAGUUUAAGACUUAAGAAACCUACUUUCUAAAUCAAACUAGAGCCUGAUUAUCCGAUGCACAUAAAUCAACAUAACAUAAGCUUUUUUUUUUUUUAGGCCUGAUUAAUGCGUUGACUCUCUUUGUCUGAAUGUCGUUCGUGAUUAGUAGGUAGCGACCCAAUAUGAGGAUGUAAAGGAUAUGGAAUCAAAGAUGAACCACUUACAUGAAUGUGAAAUCUCAUGCAUUUCUUUUGGAUCGAAUAACCGAGAAGAAGUUAUAUACAAGAACAAAGGUGUCUAUGAUUUCAGCCCCCAAGGCCGUGCCUUUGGAGUAACCAUCUGCAAUAGAGUCGGUUCCACCCCAUUCCUAUUAUAAUUGCUUCAUGAAAGCAUUAGCUAACCCCAUUAUACAAAUUGCUCCCAAACACUGUGCCACCAUGUAGCCCAAAGCUCGCAUCAGUGUUACUUUUCUUGCCAAAAACAACCCAAAAGUCACUGCUGGAUUAAUAUGACACCCUACAAAUUUAGUUGCAGGAUUUUUGCAUUUGCAAGACCGACUGCUUGAUGAAAUUAGAGCAGGUCAGGAUGGGAGGUGGUUGUGAAUUUGUUUGCCUGAUUCUGGAGUCAUUGCAUUUAUUUAGGGAUUUAGAGGUAGAUAAAAAUAAGUUUGGGUUUAGAGGUUGUAAGAAGUUUGCACACCAUGUGUUUGAUGAUACGGUGUAAAGAGAUAACGGUGAUUUAAGUUAAUUUAAGUCAAUAUAACUAUUGAAAUGGAGAAUUGACGGCAAUGUCCUUAUAUAAAUAUUAACUGUGUUAGUAAAAAUUGCCGGAGAGACACAUUUUGUAAAAAAAAUCAAAAUUUCAGUAUUGCAAAUGAUACCUAUUAAAAGUUGAUAUUGCAAGUGAUGUCACGCACAAAGUGCGAGUACACAUAAUGCACUAAACUCAUAAUUUUUUUAUAAUUGUGUGUCUAAUAGAUCCCUUGAAUAUAAAAUCGUCGUAAAAAUUUGAAGCCAAACAGCAAGCUUUUAGGUAUAAAUUUGGACAAUGACGAUCUUGGAUAUGUGUAUUUAGAUUCUUAUACAUGUCUGAAGUUAAAGUUAUUAGAAGUAAACAUUUAAUUAUUUAUUAUAUACUCCAUUCAUCUCGGAAUGAUAGUUUUGUUUUAAUUUGACUUAUUAAAAUUUACUAAAUUUUGAGCAAUAAUUACACAUAUUCUAUAAUUAAAAAAGUUAUAAAUUAUAUAGUUAGAAAAUAUAUUUAAUCUUUUUUAAAAUAGAUUUUCAAUUUUUAAAAAUUAUAAAUUUAUUUUUUAUUAUAAUACAAAAUUGGAUAAUUUAAUUAUUGAAAACAAUGAAAAGUAAAAAGGGUAGUACCGUAUCUAGAAACCUGACGCAAGUACAACUUAUAAACUUAUAAAGUACAUAGGAAUCAAAAAGCAGUGGAUCUAUCGGUAUUAUAAGGUACCAAGCGAUGUACUGAAUUUAGCAAUUAGGGGUUUGGAUACACAGUAAACAUGAGGAUGCUCAAGAGAGUUGGAAGAUUAGUGAUGCGAGAGCGAGAGCAUAUAAAUUAUAUACUACACAGGUGUAUAUCAUCACCAGCAAUAUAUGAUGUCGCCAACAGAUCUAUCCCUCUGCUGCAGGACACCCAACUUGACGGUUUUACAGGUUACCAAAUUUCUGUUAACUCUUCAAUUAUAUUGUAUGUAUAUGCAUCGUAUUCGGUUAUCAGGGCUUUUCCUUCCAACUGCAUAAUAUGAUCCACUUUGAUUCUUGAAAUUUGAUUCCUUCCAACUCUAGUAUUUUGGGCAUUACUUGUGAAAAUUGUGGUAUAUGGGGCCUUUUCCUUUAUUUCCCGGCGUUAAUCUAAUCUAGUAUAAUAUUGCGUGAAUGCUUAAGUAAUAACACGAAUGUAUUAUUUGUUGUAAUUGAACUAGGCACAACAAAUUUGGUUCUUUAGAGCAAGUCCAAGAAGAAUCCUUAUCCACAAGCUCUAUUAUUAAAAUACUAAUAUAUUAGAAUUGCAAGAGCAAAUGAAGUGUGGAAAGAGAGGGUAUUAUAUUCAAUUUUUAAAACUAAAAUGAGGCUUGUGUAAUUAAGGCAGAUGAAAGAUGUCCUAGCAAUUUAAGGCAUUUUUAGGACACCGGUGGAGCUUUUAUUUUUGUCAAUAACCCUAAAUUUUGAUUUAGGACACCAAAUAAGACAUUUGUUGGACUUGCUCUUAUGUUACAAUAAUCUAUAUGAUAACUACUUCACUAUUAUACAAUAGCUUUAUGACCAUGUUUGUUUGAAAUGAUUAUAAUCCUAGGAUAACUACAUUGUUUUCUUUAAAUUUAAAGGAUUAUCAUCUCAUGGGAUUUUAUUUCCAUCACUUUUUUUUUAAUUCAAUUCCAAUCCCAUGGAAACGAACUAAACCAAUUGAUUAGGAUAUGAAUUCAUGAGAUUAUUAUCCUUGACAAUUGAGAUAAACAAGGUAAUAAUUGGGGGAUUAUAAUCCCUCCAAACAAACAUGACUUAUCUAUGUCGAGUACAAUGAAUAGUUUUUUAACUUAAUUAAUGAUUAACAUACGACAUAUUUGUUUUACUGAAACUAUAUAGAAUAAAUUUUUUACUUAUAUAUAUAAUGGGAUUGCUAGACCUGAGGUAUGAAGGUUACAAGGUUAAACAAAUGCUAAUAUAAACUAGGGGUAAUUGUCAAGGUAUCGCCGUGGUGAAAAAUGUAGAAUUAUAGAUGUAUUAAUAUAUGUGGGGUAGCACUUUAUAGCAUACCCUCUUAUACAGAGUUUUGUGGUAUACCACUAUAAGUAUAUUCAUACUACAUAUAUUUAUUAUAUUUUUCAUUGAAUAUGAAUACAAAUUUUAAUCAUUGAAUUUAAAAAAAAUACAAUUUUUUAUUCCAAAAAUCAUUGAAAAUUGUGCAAAAUUCCAACAUGAUCUUACAACAGAAUAAUAGUUAUCCAGAAUUAUUCUGCUAUAGAACUGGUUUUGAAAAUCAACUUUUUUGUUCAAACUUUAGGUGUUAAAUUAUUUAUAAUAUAUAUGCUGUAAUAUUCUAUAUUAGAAUCACAUUUUAACUGUAUUGUGUAAUAAAAUUUAUAAUAAUAUUAAUGGUUUAUAAUGGUGUACUACGUAAGUACAUAUAAGAAGGACCUUAAUGGAAUGUUGGCCAAUAUAUGUGUAUUAAUUUGCAGAAGUAUUGUUUUAUAUCUCUUGUAUAAAACUAACUUAUAUUCCGUGGGAUGCACGAGUGACUUGUAAUAUGAUUUUUUUAAUUGUGCAUGUUCUAAUAUUAAUUUGUUUGUGAAAAUACAUUUAUUUUACAUGCUAAAUAAGUUUUUAAUAAUUAAGCCCGUGAAAAAAAAUUACAAAUAAAAAGACCCAAGAAAUAUAUUUUACCGAGAUGGAGAUAUGUCUUAGCUGUGAAGCAGGGAUACGACAAACUACUGAAAAAUCACAGGGGGGUGCGCGCACCUUGCGGGGGUGCGCAGCGGUGCGGCAGGGGGUGCGGCAGGUGGCGUCAAAACAUGUUAUAAAAUUAAAAGACCAAUAAACUGAUCCAAAUACUGACCAACCAAAACAUAUGGUGUCGUCUUAAAUAGUAUAUAGAUUCUAAUUAAAAGACUCUGAAAUGGUUCACUGAAAAGUUAAAAACAAAUUAAAAUAUAUUUCCGGAUGAUUACAAUUUAUUUCUUGUAAUAUCAUUUUAUGUAUGUCAAAACUCAUCAAAUUUUUGAACUUGAUCUGACAGAGGACCAUAGAAGUACAUACUACAAAUUGGAGAAAAAAACAAAAAAAGAAUCUGAUUUUGAUAUAGCGGUAAGGAAUUUUACCAAUCUCUCAAUAGAGAUGAAGAAACAGAAUAUUAAUCAGAAAGAGCUUACAAGUGUCAGUAGCGGAGAUAUUGUUAAUCUACAUGAGCUUUUGUUUACCAAAAACAGGGACUAUCUAAUCAAAUUCAAUGGGGACCAGGUACGUGUGCAUGAUUUUAUAUUCACACAUACAUACAUAUAUAUAUAUAGGCCAACAUUCCAUGGAGGGACUCCUUAUAUGAAGUUACAUAGUACACCAUUGUAAAUCAUCUAUUUUAUUAUAAAUUCUAUCAUAGAAUACAUAUAAAACGUGAUUCUAAUAUAGAAUACUAUGACAUAUAAAUGUUUUAAGUAAUUUAACACUUAAAAUUUGAUGAAAAAAGUAUAUUUUCAAAACUGAUUCUACAACAGAAUAAUUCUGGAUGAUGAUUAUUCUGUUAUAGAAUCAUGUUGAGAUAUUGCAUAAUUUUAGAUGAUUUCUGGAAUAAAAAAAUUGUAUAACUUCGUUUUUUGUUUAAUAAUCAAAUUUUGUAAUUAUAUUCCAUAAAAAAUAUAAUAAAAUAUAUAUUAUGUAUAUAUUUAUAAUGGUGUGCUAUGUAACUCCAUAUAAGAGGGUAUGCUAUGGAGUGCUCAAAUACAAACCACUAAAAUAAAAACUAAAUACAAACCAAGAGAAACUAUCCCUAAAUGACAUCACCCACCCCCUAUAUGUCAUCACCCACCUAGGGCACACCCUCGCCCUCACUCAAUCCACUCGGGGCCGGCUAGGGCCUUGCCAUGACUCCUCACAGGCCCUGGACUAGCUCCAGACAGCAUUAAGAGCCAAAACUUGGCCCCACCAUGGUCCCACUAGGCCCCGCCCCGACCCUACUAGACCCCGUCUAGGCCCAUCUCGGGGUCCAUCCCUGGUUCCAAGUUCAAUUUUGACCAAUUUAGUUAUGUGAGAGGUUUUGUGAUAUUCCUUCAUUGCUUAGUUUGAGGGGCAAAUCAAUUCUUGUGCAAGGAGAGGGAUGCGGUCAUUCCGUGGACUUAUUCAAAUAUCAAAUUGUUAGUUAGUUUUAUCAUUUAUGCAAUAAGCACUGUACCAAAUAAAAACAAUUAUAAGCUACUUGCACAAACAAGCCGAAAUCUAAUAUCUCGUCUUUUAUUUUGCAUGGCGAUAAUAUGAAAUCUAGAACAGUUUGGAUGACAACUCAAGCGCCAUUGUGAAAUAUCCACAAAGCCUAUUGAUAAAUUAUAUUUUUUUUAUAUAUAUAUAUAUCCUACAUCACUUUAGCUCCAAAAUAUACUUCUUUAAAAUGCAUGACUUGUGUUGUGUCUGACUGGCUUUUGAAAUUGUACCUGGAAGCUAGAAUGAGAUCCACCUAUGUAACAGCUAUAAACAUGUGUUUUCAGCUUAUCAACUUAUAACAAGUAUAUACUCUGUAGGUGAAGGCUGAGCAGUUUGCUGACAAGGUUAUCGUUAUAUAUUUUGUGUUACUGCCACUUGUUGAUAAUAAUUCUGCUGAGCGGGUGGGGCUGAUCACAGAAAGAUUAAAGGAUGUAUACAACUUUCUACCACCUAACAAAGGUUUCGAGAUCGUUUUUGUGGCUGUUGAUGAUGAUGACACUAGCUUUGAAGAAGAAAUGUUAUUUGAUCCUUUACCUAAAACAGACCUUGAGAAUGAUUUUGAAGAGGUAUUUUCUUGCAUGCCCUGGACUGCCAUUCCAUUGUCUGAUAGAACAUCCAGGGAACGUCUGCAGAAAAGAUUUGGUUUUAGGGAUAAGAACGGUAGCCUGUUUGUAAUUGAUUCAACAGGGGUCGUUUUGCAGACAAUUGUCAUUUCUGAUUUUAAACGAUAUGGAAGUCUAGGAUAUCCUUUCAGCAAUGAGAGGCUCAAAUCCCUGGAAUCUGAAUGCAAAGCAAUCGCUGCAGAACCCACAGUAGAAAAACUUCUGUCUUCCCCUGAACGAGACUAUGUCAUUUCGAAUAACGGGGACAAGGUAUACCAUGCACACUUUAUAACAAUUGGUGAUAAGGGCAUAUCCACGAGUACCUUGUUGUAGUCAAUUAAUUUCUUUUUCAUUUGUACAUCCAGUUGAGUUUGGAUAAUAAUAUUUUCCUUUACACUUCCUACUGUUACAUUUAUUGUUAGGUACCUAUUCAUACACUUGAAGAUAAGGUGGUAGCUCUAUACUUCCACGCAGGCAACGUAACUGAAACUGAUAUGCUUACAGAAGAACUUAGGAAUGUAUAUGAAGAGUUGGCUGAAAAAGAAGUUAAAUUUGAGGUUGUGCUUCUUUACCUUUGUGACACACCCAUUACUAUUGGAUUUAGAAAUGAAGAUUCAUUCUGGAGAACUUUUGGAACUAUGCCUUGGUUAGCUCUCCCCUAUAAAGACCCUAUCCUGAAGAAGUUGAAAAUAAUUUACAAGUUUCCUGAGGAUUAUAUUUAUGGUGAUGAUGAGGAGAUCUCCAAGCUUGUAAUUGUCGGACCUCAUGGAGAAUUUUGUGAACCAUGUGGAGCCGACAUUUUGUUGAACUAUAGAGUUCCAGGAUACCCCUUCACGCGUGAAAAAGCUCUUGAGUUAGAGACCGAAAGAAUAAAGAAAUUGAAGUUAGAGAUGAUUUUGGAGACGAACAAGGUCUUGACUAGAAAUGACGGAUCCAAGGUAUGUUCUCUUGACGUCUUGAUGCAUUAUUCAAAGAGUUUGGUAGAAAUUCUAUCUUCUCUUAUUCUAGUUCCUAAAGCCACUUCCAUGGCGCCUAUUAAAGAAGAUUGAAACUGGUUAAUAAAUCAUAAUUUUUUGUUCUUUAACGGCACCUGUUACAGUUAUAUGGUGCAUUGUUGUCCAAUUUUUCAGUACAUGUCAACUUAUCAAUUCCACUUUAAUAGGUUUCGCUCUCUCAACUUGCUGGCAAGAGGAUUAUGCUUUUAUUUGGUCUAUUUGAAGAUGAGUUCCUAAACAUGUUGAAAGAAAGGUAUCUCUCUAUGAAGAGUACAGAUGGUGAAUUUGAAGUAAUCCACAUCUAUGUAUCUGACACUGAUGAUGUUGUAGAAAUUUGAAGUAAUCCACAUCUAUGUAUCUGACACUGAUGAUGUUGUAGCCCCGCCGGCCUGGUUUGUGUAUCCUCUGCCAAAAGGCUUCCGCUAUGCUUCUGAUAUUAUACCUGCUGCCUUUGAUAAACGAUACUUUAGACAAGAAGAGAUUUACGAUGUUGGAGAUAGGAGAAGACUGCUUGCUUUUGAUCGAGAUGGAAUGAUAGUCAGAGACUCGGCUUUUCCGACGAUUGAAGAUAUGAAUUUCCCCUUCUACACCAGUGGGUUGGAAAAGGAAGCCUUACUAGAAUUAGAUUCUGUGUUCCAUUGGUACGAAUGGGAAGACACUGAGAGUUGGAACCGUGAGGCAGGGUAUAUUGGACCAAACCAGUCUUGCGGAUGAUCGGUUGGAUCCAUUUCCGACUUGGGCCAGACUACUGACUAUGUAAUUAUUAAAUAUCAUAUUGACUAUAUCGAUAAAAAGAUUCAUUCUUUUCAUAAAUAAAGGAUAUAAUAAUUGGGUCGCGGUCCACAAUCAUUAAUGGUUGUGGACGAGUUAUACAACGAUCAGGAUUAUAGUAGCAUUAUUUUAAUACGUAUGUUGCUUUUUAACCGUUGAACUGGUCUCGUUCAGCGUUUAAAAAUCAUUGUACAUGUCAUUUUCCCCGUGCAACGGUUAAAAAGCGUCGUAUGCAUUGUGUAUGCAUUGUAAAGGUACAAUAUAAUCCUAGCUGCGGGAUGUUUAUC
RNAcentral lists this long non-coding RNA (21438 nucleotides) under Daucus carota (carrot). Its description in RNAcentral is "long non-coding RNA (DCAR_LNC006468)". Lineage: Eukaryota; Viridiplantae; Streptophyta; Magnoliopsida; Apiales; Apiaceae. The record is from RNAcentral.